CACACACUCCACACCAACUAGUCACUUCAUAUAUCAAACCGAACCGAUCAUUUUAGAAACCAAACUGGAUCACAUCUUCAAUUCGAUCCGAUUCAAUUUUUGCGGUCGGUUUUUGCCUGAGAAAGUCAAUCCGGGGAAGAAGUUUCAGAGAAAUUAUAAAGAAAAUGCAUCUCUUGACCUAAAUCAGUUUGCUAAUGUUCAAAUUAAUCUAAAAUUUACACUUAAUCCGAUCGAUCUUUCCAUUUGGAAUCAUUUUCCCGGGAAAAAUCUUUCUCUAAUCCUUGAAUGGGAAGAAACAAGCAAGAUUUUUGUCCAUUUUUGUUUCCCUCCGCCGUCUACGGCUCUCCAUCGUCUUCUCCGUCAUCAACAUCACCUCCGUCAUCGCCGCCGCCGCAAUCUUAUUCCGAUACUCAUUCUUCUUCUCAUCAUUAUUCUUCUUCGCUGAGUAUUACUUCUCCUUUCAAAUUAAAUCCGUCAACUACACAACUCUCUUCAACGGCAGACGCCGCAAAUCUUAAUCGGGAAUGCACCGAAGAAAUUACGGUUCAUGGAGCCAGCAAUACACUCAAAUAUGUGCAGGACCCCAAGGGAGGCGUGGAUGAUAAAGAAAAGGGAAAUUCGAGCAGUGUCGGCGAAAUGUUGCAGAUAAUUCAUUUAUCCCAUCAUGUUGGGACAACUCAAGCAAGGUUAGUUUGGUUGCCAACGGGGGAUGCAGAAAAUACACUUCCUCCUUCAAAGAAGAGAGCUGCUGAAAGGGAAAUUUCAAGAGACAACCCUGGGCUUGAUGAUGAUGAAGGUGUAGAGGAAGAGAUGGGAACUUUCAAGAGGGCCAGUGAUCAGGUGCUGGCAGGCAGAAGAAUUGUGAAAGUUCGUCGCAAGCAAACCUCAUCAACCCCAUCAUCCAAUCCAUUUGCUGGAAUUCGUUUGGUUCCUCCUACUGAAGCAACUACAGCCCCUGCUGUGGCAAGAACUGAAGCAGUCACUACUAUUGAGAAAGAGAAGAGGAAAAGUGAUGCUGGUAAAGAAACUGAAGAGGGUAAAGAUGAGACUGUGAACCAGUUAGAGAGAAAGACUGAGGAGCGGGUGGCUGAAAUAGCUGAACAUAUGGAGGUUGCUGAGGAUAAACAGAAAAUUGAUCAAGCUCUGAGGACUCCAGAGUAUUCACCGAAAGAUUCAAAUGAGUGAAAGAUAUGGAAUCUUGGCUCUCUUGACCCAAAUUUACUCUAGAUGCCCAUCAGAAAAGAGUAGAGUGUGCUGCUGACUACUUUACCAGUGGUGGUAAACCGUAUCUAGUCACUGGUUCUGAUGAUCAUACUGCUACGGUGUGGGAUUAUCAAACCAAAAGUUGUGUUCAGACACUUGAAGGCCAUACUCACAAUGCCUCUGCAGUAUGUUUCCAUCCAGAACUUCCAAUAAUAAUCGCUGGUUCUGAAGAUGGGACAGUACGCAUAUGGCAUUCAACAACUUACAGGUAGUUAUUAUGUUUUGAACUUGGGUCUUAUAUUAGGGUUUAUUUGCAUAUGGAGUUAUAGACUGGCAAAUCUGUUUUUCUUUUAGAAUAGGAUAUGUGAAUUUCAAUAAGAAAAAGAUAUGCAAAAUAGUUAAACUUAUUUAUAAAAAAUAUUUUAGACACUUGUUCUGUUUCAUAUGCUAGUCAGCUUGCUGCAUCAUUUAAUUCUAGUUGUAUGGGUACUGUACUGUUGAUCCACUGCAGGCUUGAUCCAGUUAUAGCUCUGAAUUUUAGUUCAAGUAUCAAUUUUCUCACUGAAUGAUUAGGUUGCAAUUUUUACAAGUACUCCCGUAAACCUUCUUUCGUGUGAUUAUUGUCUUAUGAAAAUUUAUUACGGGCUAAACAAAUCUUGAUACCUUCCGUUUUUAGACUUGGAGAUGUAUUGCACUGACUUACAGGCUUGAGAACACAUUGAAUUAUGGUCUUGAAAGAGUUUGGCGAUUGGAUACAUGAGAAGUUCACGCCGAGCUUAAAGCAUAAUCCCAAUGGGGGAUUUGCUGUUGUUUGUGGAGAUGGGGAGCACAUCAUAUAUACAGCUUUGGCUUGGAGAAAUAGAUC
Molecule: RNA transcript, 2068 nt
Organism: Mercurialis annua (annual mercury)
Lineage: Eukaryota; Viridiplantae; Streptophyta; Magnoliopsida; Malpighiales; Euphorbiaceae
Exons: 6
Source: RefSeq, a predicted model, not a curated record